RNAcentral lists this long non-coding RNA (253 nucleotides) under Capsella rubella. RNAcentral describes it as "long non-coding RNA (CRUB_LNC003160)". Lineage: Eukaryota; Viridiplantae; Streptophyta; Magnoliopsida; Brassicales; Brassicaceae. The record is from RNAcentral.
AAACUUCAACUUAAAAUUCUAAAAAGAACAUUAGUUUUUAUUUUUGGGUCAAAGAAACAUUUAUUUCCCAUCCAUAAAUAAGCUAGUAAAUUUAUUUAUUUUUGUAAACAUACCAAUUUACUACAGACACUGGUAUGAUCAAUAAAUUUACUUCCUUAGAAAAUACUAUUAUUCUUGGUCAAAACAGACUUAACUUAUUAUUUUAAGGUCAGAUGUUAGAUUUAUUGGUGUCAUAUAUUUGCUCAAAAAAAAA